RNAcentral lists this ribosomal RNA (2878 nucleotides) under Asticcacaulis sp. SL142. Its description in RNAcentral is "23S ribosomal RNA". It matches the Rfam family "Bacterial large subunit ribosomal RNA". The record is from RNAcentral. Lineage: Bacteria; Pseudomonadati; Pseudomonadota; Alphaproteobacteria; Caulobacterales; Caulobacteraceae.
GAUCAAGCGUUAAAGGGCUUCUGACGGAUGCCUUGGCGUAGAGAGGCGAAGAAAGACGUGGCAAGCUGCGAUAAGAACCGGGGAGGCGCUAGCACCCUUUGAUCCGGUUAUUUCUGAAUGGGGAAACCCACCUUUACGGCCCUCUCAUUUUAGUGAGCAAGUUAAGUGGACGAUCUGCUUUUCCGAACCUGUCACGCAGGUGAGGCAAGGCCGACCGGCCGCCCGAGCUUAUGCGAGGAACUCGAUGCCUUUGGCAUCGCACUAAAGUGAGUUGGUUGUUGAAAGGUAUAAUAAACUGAAUACAUAGGUUUAUUAGGCAAACCCGGUGAACUGAAACAUCUCAGUAACCGGAGGAAAGGACAUCAACCGAGACUUCCCUAGUAGUGGCGAGCGAACGGGAACCAGGCCAGUGCUCUUGUGAUAUAAAGUCGAACGACAUGGAAAGGUCGACCAUAGCGGGUGAUAGUCCCGUAGACGUCAAAUAGCAAGAGACUCGAGUAGGGCGGGACACGUGAAAUCCUGUCUGAACAUGGGGGGACCACCCUCCAAGCCUAAGUACUCCUCUACGACCGAUAGUGAACAAGUACCGUGAGGGAAAGGUGAAAAGCACCCCGACAAGGGGAGUGAAACAGAUCCUGAAAUCGGAAGCCUACAAGCAGUUGGAGCACCCAAGCGGUGUGACAGCGUACCUUUUGUAUAAUGGGUCAGCGACUUCAUGUGCCGAGCAAGCUUAAGCCGUUAGGUGUAGGCGUAGCGAAAGCGAGUUUGAAUAGAGCGUUAAGUUCGUUGCAUGACGACCCGAAACUAGGUGAUCUAUCCAUGAGCAGGAUGAAGGUUGGGUAACACCAACUGGAGGUCCGAACCCGUGAAUGUUGAAAAAUUCUGGGAUGACUUGUGGAUAGGGGUGAAAGGCCAAUCAAACCUAGACAUAGCUGGUUCUCCGCGAAAUCUAUUUAGGUAGAGCGUCGGAUUUAUUCCUUGGGGGGUAGAGCACUGAAUGGAUGCGGGCGGCGCGAGCUGUACCAAUUCUAAUCAAACUCCGAAUACCCAAGAGAACUGUCCGGCAGACACACUGUGGGUGCUAACGUCCAUGGUGAAAAGGGAAACAACCCUAACCUACAUCUAAGGCCCCCAAAUUAUGGCUAAGUGGGAAACGAUGUGGGAUUGCAUUGACAACCAGGAGGUUGGCUUAGAAGCAGCCAUCCUUUAAAGAAAGCGUAACAGCUCACUGGUCAAGCGAUCCUGCGCGGAAAAUGUAACGGGGCUAAAGCCAUAUGCCGAAGAUUAGGGCUUGCACUUAGUGCAAGCGGUAGCGGAGCGUUCUGUAAGCCUGUGAAGGUCACUCGUGAGGGUGGCUGGAGGUAUCAGAAGUGAGAAUGCUGACAUGAGUAGCGAUAAAGAGUGUGAGAGACACUCUCGCCGAAAGACCAAGGGUUCCUACGUAAAGCUAAUCUGCGUAGGGUUAGCCAGCCCCUAAGGCGAGGCCGAAAGGCGUAGUCGAUGGGAACCAGGUAAAUAUUCCUGGGCCAGUAUGAAGUGACGGAUGGCAUAACUUGUAAGGGCUUAUUGGAUUGUCCUUGCAGGGGCGUUGUCCCUGGAAAUAACUCAUACAGAGACUGUACCCGAAACCGACACAGGUGGUCAGGUAGAGUAUACCAAGGCGCUUGAGAGAACUAUGCUGAAGGAACUCGGCAAAUUACACGCGUAACUUCGGGAUAAGCGUGACUUACUCUGGGCAACCAGAACUAAGUGGCACAGGCUAGGGGGUAGCGACUGUUUAUCAAAAACACAGGGCUCUGCGAAGCUGUAAAGCGACGUAUAGGGUCUGACGCCUGCCCGGUGCCGGAAGGUUAAAAGGAGUGGUGAGAGCUGCGAAUUGAAGCCCCGGUAAACGGCGGCCGUAACUAUAACGGUCCUAAGGUAGCGAAAUUCCUUGUCGGGUAAGUUCCGACCUGCACGAAUGGCGUAACGACUUCCCCACUGUCUCCAGCAUAGGCUCAGCGAAAUUGAAUUCCCCGUGAAGAUGCGGGGUUCCCGCGGUCAGACGGAAAGACCCUAUGAACCUUUACUAUAGCUUCGCCUUGGCGUUAGCAUCAACAUGUGUAGGAUAGGUGGGAGGCUAUGAAACGAGGGCGCCAGUUCUCGUGGAGCCAUCCUUGAAAUACCACCCUUAUUGUUGCUGACGUCUAACCGCGGCCCGUAUAUCCGGGUCCGGGACAUGGCGUGGUGGGUAGUUUGACUGGGGCGGUCGCCUCCCAAAGUGUAACGGAGGCGCGCGAUGGUGGGCUCAGAACGGUCGGAAAUCGUUCGACGAGUGCAAUGGCAUAAGCCCGCCUGACUGCGAGACUGACAAGUCGAGCAGAGACGAAAGUCGGCCAUAGUGAUCCGGUGGUCCUGCGUGGAAGGGCCAUCGCUCAACGGAUAAAAGGUACUCUAGGGAUAACAGGCUGAUUUUGCCCAAGAGUCCAUAUCGACGGCAAAGUUUGGCACCUCGAUGUCGGCUCAUCACAUCCUGGGGCUGGAGCAGGUCCCAAGGGUAUGGCUGUUCGCCAUUUAAAGUGGUACGUGAGCUGGGUUCAGAACGUCGUGAGACAGUUUGGUCCCUAUCUGCCGUGGGUGUUCGAGACUUGAGAGGAUCUGUCCCUAGUACGAGAGGACCGGGAUGGACAUACCUCUGGUGGACCUGUCGUGGCGCCAGCCGCGCAGCAGGGUAGCUAAGUAUGGAAUAGAUAACCGCUGAAAGCAUCUAAGCGGGAAACUAACCUCAAAACAAGGUCUCGCUGAGGAUCGUGGAAGACUACCACGUUGAUAGGCUGGGUGUGGAAGCUCCGUGAGGAGUGAAGCUAACCAGUACUAAUAAUCCGAUCGGCUUGAUCGU